AUUGAACGCUGGCGGCAGGCUUAACACAUGCAAGUCGAACGGUAACAGGAAGAAGCUUGCUUCUUUGCUGACGAGUGGCGGAUGGGUGAGUCAUGUCUGGGAAACUGCCUGAUGGAGGGGGAUAACUACUGGAAACGGUAGCUAAUACCGCAUAACGUCGCAUGACUAAAGAGGGGGACCUUCGGGCCUCUUGCCAUCGGAUGUGCCCAGCUGGGAUUAGCUAGUAGGUGGGGUUACGGCUCACCUAGGCGACGAGCCGUAGCUGGUGGGAGAGGGUGACCGGCCACACGAGAACGGGAACAGGGACCAGACGCCUGCGGGAGGCAGCAGUGGGGAAUGGUGCGCAGUAGGGGCAAGCCUGAUGCAGCGAUGCCGCGUGUAUGAAAAAAACCUUGGGGGUGUAAAGUACGUUCAGCGGGGGGGAAGGGAGUAAGGUUGAGACGAAGGCUCAUUGACGUUACCCGCAGAAGAAGCACCGGCUAACUCCGUG
Molecule: ribosomal RNA, 490 nt
Filed under: uncultured bacterium
Lineage: Bacteria
Description: partial 16S ribosomal RNA
Rfam family: Bacterial small subunit ribosomal RNA
Source: RNAcentral